GGAAUUUUGGGCAAUGGGCGAAAGCCUGACCCAGCAACGCCGCGUGAAGGAUGAAGUAUUUCGGUAUGUAAACUUCGAAAGUAUGGGAAGAAUAAAUGACGGUACCAUUUAUACGCUCCGGCUAACUACGUGCCAGCAGCCGCGGUAAUACGUAGGGAGCAAGCGUUGUUCGGAGUUACUGGGCGUAAAGGGGGCGUAGGCGGCGUGUUAAGUCAGCUGUGAAAUCUCCAUGCUUACCUUGGAACGGCCAGCUGAUACUGAUGUGCUAGAGUGCAGAAGGGGCAAUCGGAAUUCUUGGUGUAGCGGUGAAAUGCGUAGAUAUCAAGAGGAACACCUGAGGUGAAGACGGGUUGCUGGGCUGACACUGACGCUGAGGCGCGAAAGCCAGGGGAGCAAAC
Molecule: ribosomal RNA, 398 nt
Filed under: uncultured bacterium
Lineage: Bacteria
Description: bacterial SSU rRNA
Rfam family: Bacterial small subunit ribosomal RNA
Source: RNAcentral